This 680-nucleotide long non-coding RNA is filed under the name Vigna radiata. Its description in RNAcentral is "long non-coding RNA (VRAD_LNC010049)". Lineage: Eukaryota; Viridiplantae; Streptophyta; Magnoliopsida; Fabales; Fabaceae. The record is from RNAcentral.
AUACGGAUUUUAAUCCGUAUGUAAUGUAGAUACUACAUACGGAUUUUAUAUACAGAUUUAGAAAAAUAAAUUAUAUACGGACCUACUGAAACUACAUACGGAUCUGAAAAAAUUUUAUUAAAAAAAAAAAUAAUGUGGUAUUUGUAUUAGGAAACCGUCUUAUUCCAGAACAUAGUUUCCUCUGCUCUCAACGAAGAACCCUCUUUAUGGAAGAGGCUCCUUGGACUUCUUGAAGCUUCCUCCACGAGUUGACCACAACCGGAUUCGAUGAAGGGCCUUAGCAAGAGAACUCGAAAGAGGAGGAACACGCCUAGAAAACCCUAGGUUCGCGAUGAUACUCCGGGAGAGGAAAAGAUUCGAAGCGGAGUGAAAAAUAGGAAGAUUGUUCGGUGAGAAAUGUGAUUUAGGUCGUGUGUUCGGUGGAAAAGGACGAUUCAACGACUACAUCAGUGAAACAGUGCCAAAAUGAGGAUGUAAUCGGUGGAAAAGCCUGUAACAAGGACAAAUGAAGUCGCAAAAUGUGAUUCGGUGAUGUCAAUCACGACGACGAAGGCUCUUUGGGAGUGAUAAGGUGAGGAGGUUCGCGAGCUCGAGAAGAAGCUAGGUUUAAGUUGUUGGACUCGUGAAAGCUCAAACCGUAGCCGCUGCGUGACCGAGCUAUUGUUCCAUAACCACCNNNN